This 446-nucleotide long non-coding RNA is filed under the name Helianthus annuus (common sunflower). The record is from RNAcentral. Lineage: Eukaryota; Viridiplantae; Streptophyta; Magnoliopsida; Asterales; Asteraceae.
AUGAUUCCCCAUUCAAACUGCAUUACUACUCCACGUUUAUCAGGUGCGGUUAAAGAAUCAGUCAAUGCUCAAACCUCAAAACACACACAUCGAUCAUUUGAGAACACACUAAACGUGGGAAACAUCUGCGAAAAAUGAUCAUAAAUCUUGCUUGGAAACAGGAUGGCAAUGAAGGAUGUUCUAUUCGCGAUGAAGAUAAAGAGAAAACUGUGUUGUUUGUACACAUAUUGUAUUUUGUGUUGCUUGCAUACGAAGUGACGUUCUAGAUGGGAUGGAGUAGUGACGGUUUCUUCAUUCGGGAUGUAGAAAGUGAGGAAACUAUAGUAAUUUGUAUUUGGAUAUUUUGUAUAAUUUUGUAAUAUUUUAUGGCAUUAUAUUUCAUAAUUUUUCUUAUCUUAUUUGUAGAACAUGUGGCUUUUAUUUGUCAUUGUAAACCUUUAUGUGAU